GAUGAACGCUAGCUAUAGGCUUAACACAUGCAAGUCGAGGGGAAACGGCAUUAUGUGCUUGCACAUUUUGGACGUCGACCGGCGCACGGGUGAGUAUCGCGUAUCCAACCUGCCCUUUACUUGGGGAUACCCCGUUGAAAGACGGCCUAAUACCCGAUGUAAUUCAUUGAUGGCAUCAGAUAUGAAUAAAAGAUUUAUCGGUAAAGGAUGGGGAUGCGUCUGAUUAGCUUGUUGGUGAGGUAACGGCUCACCAAGGCGACGAUCAGUAGGGGUUCUGAGAGGAAGGUCCCCCACAUUGGAACUGAGACACGGUCCAAACUCCUACGGGAGGCAGCAGUGAGGAAUAUUGGUCAAUGGGCGCAAGCCUGAACCAGCCAAGGAGCGUGCAGGAAGACGGCCCUAUGGGUUGUAAACUGCUUUUAUACGAGAAUAAUUUGAUGCACGUGUGCGUUAUUGCAUGUAUCGUAUGAAUAAGGACCGGCUAAUUCCGU
RNAcentral lists this ribosomal RNA (491 nucleotides) under uncultured bacterium. RNAcentral's name for it is "partial 16S ribosomal RNA". It matches the Rfam family "Bacterial small subunit ribosomal RNA", at positions 28 to 506 of the family's 1533-position model. The record is from RNAcentral.